GAGUUUGAUCCUGGCUCAGAACGAACGCUGGCGGCAGGCUUAACACAUGCAAGUCGAACGCGUGUAGCAAUACACGAGUGGCGCACGGGUGAGUAACGCGUGGAUAUCUGCCUUUUGGUUCGGAAUAACCCCGGGAAACUGGGGCUAAUACCGGAUGGUUCCUUCGGGAUAAAGAUUUAUCGCCAAAAGAUGAGUCCGCGUCCGAUUAGCUAGUUGGUGAGGUAACGGCUCACCAAGGCGACGAUCGGUAGCUGGUCUGAGAGGACGAUCAGCCACACUGGGACUGAGACACGGCCCAGACUCCUACGGGAGGCAGCAGUGGGGAAUAUUGGACAAUGGGGGCAACCCUGAUCCAGCCAUGCCGCGUGAGUGAUGAAGGCCUUCGGGUUGUAAAGCUCUUUUGGCGGGGACGAUGAUGACGGUACCCGCAGAAUAAGCCCCGGCUAACUUCGUGCCAGCAGCCGCGGUA
This 469-nucleotide ribosomal RNA is filed under the name uncultured Novosphingobium sp. RNAcentral describes it as "bacterial SSU rRNA". It matches the Rfam family "Bacterial small subunit ribosomal RNA", at positions 9 to 522 of the family's 1533-position model. The record is from RNAcentral. Lineage: Bacteria; Pseudomonadati; Pseudomonadota; Alphaproteobacteria; Sphingomonadales; Sphingomonadaceae.